AGUUCGAUUAUGGCUCAGAUUGAACGCUGGCAGGAUGCUUUACACAUGCAAGUCGAACGGCGGCACGGACUUCCGGUCUGGUGGCAGUGGCGAACGGGUGGGUAAUGUAUCGGAACGUGCCUAGUAGCGGGGGAUAACUACGCGAAAGCAUCGCUAAUGCAGCAUACGCCCUUCGAAGGAAAGCAGGGGCGCUAGGGCCUCGCACUAUUAGAGCAGCCGAUAUCGGAUUAGCUAGUUGGUGGGGUAACGGCUCACCAAGGCGGCGGUCCGUAGCUGGUUUGAGAAGGACGACUGACCACACUGGGACUGGUUACGGCCCAGACUCCUACGGGAGAGCAGCGGUGAAAUUUUGGACAAUGGAAACCCUGAUCAGCCAUCCCGCGUGUACGAUGAAGGCCUUCGGGUUGUAAAGCACUGGCAGGAAAAACGGCACGGGAUAUGCCCGUGCAACUGACGACACCUGCAGAUAAGCACCGGCUAACUACGUGCCAGCAGCCGCGGUAAUACGUAGGGUGCAAGCGUUAAUCGGAAUUACUGGGCGUAAAGCGUGCGCAGGCGGUUCGGAAGAAAGAUGUGAAAUCCCAGAGCUUAACUUUGAACUGCAUUUUUAACUACCGAGCUGAGAGUGUGUCAGAGGAGAUUUGAUUCCGCGUGUAGCAGUGAAAUGCGUAGAUAUGCCGGAAGACACCGAUGGCGAAGGCAGCCUCCUGGGAUAACACUGACGCUCAUGCACGAAAGCGUGGGAGCAAACAGGAUUAGAUACCCUGGUAGUCCACGCCCUAAACGAUGUCAACUAGCUGUUGGGGCCUUCGGGCCUUGGUAGCGCAGCUAACGCGUGAAGUUGACCGCCUGGGAUGGGUCGCAGGAAUUAAAACUCAAAGGAAUUGACGGGGACCCGCACAAGCGGUGGAUGAUGUGGAUUAAUUCGAUGCAACGCGAAAAACCUUACCUACCCUUGACAUGUCUGGAAUCCCGAAGAGAUUUGGGAGUGCUCGCAAGAGAACCGGAACACAGGUGCUGCAUGGCUGUCGUCGGCUCGUGUCGCGAGAUGUUGGGUUAAGUCCCGCAACAGGCGCAACCCUUGCGCCAUUAGUUACUACGAAAGGGCACUCUAAUGAGACUGCCGGUGACAAACCGGAGGAAGGUGGGGAUGACGUCAAGUCCUCAUGGCCCUUAUGGGUAGGGCUUCAUCAUGCAAUGAAUUAAGACGAAGUUAUGUAACCCGCGAGGGGGCCAAUCCCAGAAACCCGAUCGUAGUCCGGAUCAUGAUCUGCAAACUCGACUGCGUGAAGUCGGAAUCGCCCAGUAAUCGCGGAUCAGCAUGUCGCGGUGAAUACGUUCCCGGGUCUUGUACACCGCCCGUCACACCAUGGGAGCAGUUUUGAAGUAGUUAGCCUAACCGUAAGGAGGGCGAUUACCACGGUAGGAUGUGGCUGGGGUGAAGUCGUAACAAGGUAA
RNAcentral lists this ribosomal RNA (1458 nucleotides) under uncultured Bordetella sp. RNAcentral's name for it is "partial 16S-23S ribosomal RNA intergenic spacer". It matches the Rfam family "Bacterial small subunit ribosomal RNA". Lineage: Bacteria; Pseudomonadati; Pseudomonadota; Betaproteobacteria; Burkholderiales; Alcaligenaceae. The record is from RNAcentral.